This 492-nucleotide ribosomal RNA is filed under the name uncultured bacterium. Its description in RNAcentral is "partial 16S ribosomal RNA". It matches the Rfam family "Bacterial small subunit ribosomal RNA", at positions 29 to 507 of the family's 1533-position model. The record is from RNAcentral.
AGUGAACGCUGGCGGUAGGCCUAACACAUGCAAGUCGAACGGCAGCACAGUAAGAGCUUGCUCUUACGGGUGGCGAGUGGCGGACGGGUGAGGAAUACAUCGGAAUCUACUUUUUCGUGGGGGAUAACGUAGGGAAACUUACGCUAAUACCGCAUACGACCUACGGGUGAAAGCAGGGGAUCUUCGGACCUUGCGUGAUUGAAUGAGCCGAUGUCGGAUUAGCUAGUUUGCGGGGUAAGGGCCCACCAAGGCGACGAUCCGUAGCUGGUCUGAGAGGAUGAUCAGCCACACUGGAACUUAGACACGGUCCAUUCUCCUACGUGAGACAGCAGUGGGGAAUAUUGGACAGUGGGCGCAAGCCUGUUCCAGCCAUGCCGCGUGGGUGAAGAAGGCCUUCGGGUUGUAAAGCCCUUUUGUUGAGAAAGAAGAGCAGCAAGUUAAUACCCCGCUGUUCUGACGGUACCCAAAGAAUAAGCACCGGCUAACUUCGUG